RNAcentral lists this ribosomal RNA (730 nucleotides) under Bacillus sp. (in: firmicutes). RNAcentral's name for it is "bacterial SSU rRNA". It matches the Rfam family "Bacterial small subunit ribosomal RNA", at positions 56 to 770 of the family's 1533-position model. Lineage: Bacteria; Bacillati; Bacillota; Bacilli; Caryophanales; Bacillaceae. The record is from RNAcentral.
UGCAGUCGAGCGGACAGAAGGGAGCUUGCUCCCGGAUGUUAGCGGCGGACGGGUGAGUAACACGUGGGUAACCUGCCUGUAAGACUGGGAUAACUCCGGGAAACCGGAGCUAAUACCGGAUAGUUCCUUGAACCGCAUGGUUCAAGGAUGAAAGACGGUUUCGGCUGUCACUUACAGAUGGACCCGCGGCGCAUUAGCUAGUUGGUGGGGUAAUGGCUCACCAAGGCGACGAUGCGUAGCCGACCUGAGAGGGUGAUCGGCCACACUGGGACUGAGACACGGCCCAGACUCCUACGGGAGGCAGCAGUAGGGAAUCUUCCGCAAUGGACGAAAGUCUGACGGAGCAACGCCGCGUGAGUGAUGAAGGUUUUCGGAUCGUAAAGCUCUGUUGUUAGGGAAGAACAAGUGCGAGAGUAACUGCUCGCACCUUGACGGUACCUAACCAGAAAGCCACGGCUAACUACGUGCCAGCAGCCGCGGUAAUACGUAGGUGGCAAGCGUUGUCCGGAAUUAUUGGGCGUAAAGGGCUCGCAGGCGGUUUCUUAAGUCUGAUGUGAAAGCCCCCGGCUCAACCGGGGAGGGUCAUUGGAAACUGGGAAACUUGAGUGCAGAAGAGGAGAGUGGAAUUCCACGUGUAGCGGUGAAAUGCGUAGAGAUGUGGAGGAACACCAGUGGCGAAGGCGACUCUCUGGUCUGUAACUGACGCUGAGGAGCGAAAGCGUGGGGAGCG